AGUGGACAUUGGCACAGGCUGGCUUUCUGUUCUUGGAGAAGGCCAAAAAUAAUCUCAGUAGAUUUAAUUAAAACUGCAGUGAACAGAUGGGGAAGAUGGAAAGAACUCCAACUGGAGACCACUCAUCUGUCUAGGUCUCUGCGAGCGUUUUAAUGAAGCCUUCGCUGUCUGCGGGUCCCACUACUGACACAUCCCUUUCUGGUUAUGCAACGGAGCGGAACGAUUACCCAGCAACUCCUCUUAAAGCGGCAGGAGCCUGGUUCUUAAACAGAAGUAUGACCUGACCUAAUCCAACGACUCCCACAGUAAAGCAACAAGCAUGCACAUGAAACAAGCUAUUAUGAUCACGGCCAUUUCCACAGCAUGGAAGGAACUCAGGAGAAGCACGUUUCAGGACCUCCCUAUUUUCCACCCACAAAGAUGACCCUGUAUCUCCCCUCCUGAAACACGAGUGUGCCCCUCCCACGCCUCUCUCGCAGGCGGCCACGUGGCCAAGUGCCCGGGAUCACGUCACACACUUGGCAGCGGCCGAGCCCAUCAUGUGCAUCACGUGCCCCUGGGCACCGCCCCCUUUGUCCCGGCUGCCGCCGCUAGGCCAAGUGACUCCUGGGACCCAGAACUCAUGACAGAAGAUUCAUGAAAUCGCCAUGACUCCCUCACCCCCAUCACGUGCCGGAAUUACUCCUGAAUUUGACAAAUACAUAAGCUGCCUGCAAA
Bubalus bubalis (water buffalo) is the source of this 717-nucleotide long non-coding RNA. RefSeq lists it as uncharacterized. NCBI's taxonomy places the organism in Eukaryota, Metazoa, Chordata, Mammalia, Artiodactyla, Bovidae. The record is from RefSeq and is a predicted model, not a curated record. The transcript is spliced from 2 exons.